GAGCAGAAGGACGCAGACACUCGGCCCGGGAGCCCUCGGUGACGACCGAAGCCCGGCGGGCGUCCCCCAGAGCCCCGCUCCGUGACACCGCCCGCGAGCCCUCGGCGCCCCACGCACAGACCCCGCAGUUUGGGAAGAAGCGCAGCUCCCGUGUCCACCCUUGCAAGCUUUCUCUCCCCUUUGUAACAUAGCAGGAAUUAUAAUAAGGACACAGACUCAUCGACUCAUCUCCAGCUCAGACAACAAAUGACUCUCACCUACGAGGACUACAUUUGCAACUCUCUCACAUACACUGGGACUCUGAGGAUUGAGGCUUUUAUCUUGGGAACCACAAUGCAGAUCUGAACAGCACUGCCGUCUCCUGGAGGAGAUAAUGUGUCUUUGCUCAGAGAUCUAGUUCUCGGCUUGGCUUCUAUCAAGCAGCACCAUUUGGCAGGGGCUGCCUGGUUUAUGUGAUAGCAGAGACUGAAUUACUUAAGAAAAACAGAGACUUACUCUUUAUGUAAAAACAAAUGACAAAUUAAAAGUGGUUUUAAUUUU
Cygnus olor (mute swan) is the source of this 540-nucleotide long non-coding RNA. RefSeq lists it as uncharacterized. The transcript is spliced from 2 exons. The record is from RefSeq and is a predicted model, not a curated record. Lineage: Eukaryota; Metazoa; Chordata; Aves; Anseriformes; Anatidae.